RNAcentral lists this ribosomal RNA (492 nucleotides) under uncultured bacterium. Its description in RNAcentral is "partial 16S ribosomal RNA". It matches the Rfam family "Bacterial small subunit ribosomal RNA", at positions 29 to 507 of the family's 1533-position model. The record is from RNAcentral.
AGUGAACGCUGGCGGUAGGCCUAACACAUGCAAGUCGAACGGCAGCACAGUAAGAGCUUGCUCUUACGGGUGGCGAGUGGCGGACGGGUGAGGAAUACAUCGGAAUCUACUUUUUCGUGGGGGAUAACGUAGGGAAACUUACGCUAAUACCGCAUACGACCUACGGGUGAAAGCAGGGGAUCUUCGGACCUUGCGCGAUUGAAUGAGCCGAUGUCGGAUUAGCUAGUUGGCGGGGUAAAGGCCCACCAAGGCGACGAUCCGUAGCUGGUCUGAGAGGAUGAACAGCCACAACUGAACUUGGACACGGGCCAGAAGCCCAAGGGAAGCAAGAGGUGGGAAAAAUUGGCAAAGGGCGGAAACCUUAACCAAGCAAUCCGGGGUGGGUGAAGAAGGCCUUGGGGUUGAAAGCCCCUUUUGUUGGGAAGAAAAAGAGCAGGGUAAAACCCCGCUUGUCCUGCGGGAACCAAAGGAUAAGCACCGGCUAACUUCGUG